UAUCCUGUCAUUAUAGAUGCUUUUGAAGAAUGUAGGUAACUGCAUGUAGGUCACUGAUUUAUUGCACUGCUGUACUACGUAUGAAUUGCUGGGAAAGUUGCAGUCAAUUUUAUAGCCUAAGAAUCUCAUCUUAAGAGAUGUAUUUAAUUGGAGGAAAUCAAAAUGCUAAAGUUUAUGAUGGGAAAGGAUUUUUCCUCAAGUAUUACUGUCUUGCACUGUAUUUUGUUUAUGUCAUUUGUUUAAGAGUGCAUAAUUGCUUUCUUUCUGUCAUUGUUUUUUUCAGAAUUUACAGACAUAAACUAAACAUGUUGAGCUGUGUUAUUCCUGAGCUUGAUGAAGGAAAUAUCUGUCCUACUUGUCCCAAAACUGAUGGUGUGAUCUUUGAGUCUCUUGAUGCUCUAUUUAUUGGAGGAAGGAAAAAGCUGGGCAGAGUCUUGGAAAACCUCUAUUUGGACAGCUGAUGUUCUAUGAUCAGACACAUGUUGAUCAAUUUGUUGCCAAUUAUACCACACCUACCUCAAACAAGGAGUGUCAUGGUUUUCUUGCUGGGAAUGCUGUUCAAUCAAUGAAUUGCUACAGAGCUCUUGAUAAAAAAGCAAUCUUUGGGCAAGGCUGUCGACAUGGGUUCCCUUAAAAAUUGUUAAAUUUGAAACAUGGAGAGAGAUUGAGCUAUGCAGUUUAUGUUCUCCAAGAAUUAGAGAAAGAUAAUGUUGAUAAUCCUGCACUCAAAAUAAACAUAUUGUAUGAUGUUGCAUGCAUGUUGGUGAAACACUUACAGAAUUUGGAUGAUCCGAUUGUUGACAUUUUUCAAUUUUCAACUCCAAUUUUUCACUGCUAUGGGCAUGUUGGACGAUGCCAAGUUAAAUUUAGUCCCCGUCGUAAAGAAGGUUUUGGCCUAACUGACGGUGAGAUGUUGGAGAGAUUGUGAGCUUACAUUCGCAAAUUUAGCAGAAUGACUAAAGAAAUGCGUCCAAGUCACAGAGUUGAUGUACUCAGUGAUGCUCUUUUACAUUAGGGAAAGAAAACGAAGAUUAAUUUAGGCAAUUUGCUGAUGGCAAGGAUGAAGCGAGCUGUUGACGUGGAAGAAACUGCAAAAUCAGAUAUUGAAAAGUUAUGCAGGUGCUUUCCGUCUCACAGCAUUUCAAUAGAUGAUAUUCGUGAGUGGAUGAAGGACGAAUCGACUUUUUUUGGUCGUGAAGUUGAGACUGAAAACUUUUUUUAACAAAUAUACGUAAAUCUUGAACAACUUACAGAAGAAGAAGAUUGGAAAUGCAAGUACGUUAUAUACCUGGACUUGUACGCUGAUCUUUACCAUCGAUGGAAUGGUUGCACUGAUCCAAGUGAACUGACUGUUCCAUUUAAUCAGAUGAAAAAAUUGACGAGCAGUUGAAGAUCAUGGAAAGGGAAAACUCAAUUUCUGCACGCUGGCAAAAUACUAACUCAGAAUUUGUUGGGGAUGUUGAGAAAGCAAAGGAUAGCAAGGGAUUGACUGUGUUUGAAGCUACAAAACAGUGGGCGGGAGAUAAGAGGAAGAGAGAGGAUAGGGGAGAUCCUGGUGUGAUUGAUGGAUACAAGGAUACGAUUACUACAAUAAUCAUAACUUUUUAAAGAUUGUUCUACUAUCUCUUAUUCUCUGUUAUCCUAUAGGACCAUGGAGUUAGUUUGUUGAUGAAGAAAAUAUUGCUAAACCAUGGGAGGUAUUUCAAUUACCCAAAUAAAGAGUUUUAUAAAGAUAAUUUUCAAAUCAAACAAUUAUUUUUCUGGCUUUUUACCUUGAUGAAUACAGGAAGAGUCAACAAUCCUUGAGGAAUA
Molecule: RNA transcript, 1812 nt
Organism: Xenia sp. Carnegie-2017
Lineage: Eukaryota; Metazoa; Cnidaria; Anthozoa; Malacalcyonacea; Xeniidae
Exons: 11
Source: RefSeq, a predicted model, not a curated record